AAAAAAAGGAGUACCAAAAAGGCAAUUUGGUUGAGAGAUUGAGGAAUCAGAAAAGAACAUUGUGGUAACGUGGUGGAUAACUUAGUAGCAAUGUCUAGCUGACAAAUUCUAGAAGAAAUGAUUCUCACACCUCGUUUCCAAUAUGAUUUCGACUAUAUAAAUGUAUUGCUUCAAUUAGCUGUUAAUUUCUUAUAAAGUAGCUAGAUUCAGCAAAUAUUCUUGAAGAAACCAUACGUCAACCUAAUACCAGUCAUAAGAAGCAUGAAGGUGAACUUGUUACUGAGUCAUUACCACAUCACUGGAGAAUGGAGGGAACAGACAUUCCUACAGGACACUCUAAAAAGAUGAAAGU
This 352-nucleotide unclassified non-coding RNA is filed under the name Hevea brasiliensis (rubber tree). Lineage: Eukaryota; Viridiplantae; Streptophyta; Magnoliopsida; Malpighiales; Euphorbiaceae. The record is from RNAcentral.